UACGUAGGGUGCAAGCGUUGUCCGGAAUUAUUGGGCGUAAAGAGCUCGUAGGCGGUUUGUUGCGUCGGCUGUGAAAUCCCGAGGCUCAACCUCGGGUCUGCAGUCGAUACGGGCGGACUGGAGUUCGGCAGGGGAGACUGGAAUUCCUGGUGUAGCGGUGAAAUGCGCAGAUAUCAGGAGGAACACCGGUGGCGAAGGCGGGUCUCUGGGGCCGAUACUGACGCUGAGGAGCGAAAGCGUGGGGAGCGAACAGG
RNAcentral lists this ribosomal RNA (254 nucleotides) under uncultured bacterium. Its description in RNAcentral is "partial 16S ribosomal RNA". It matches the Rfam family "Bacterial small subunit ribosomal RNA", at positions 524 to 776 of the family's 1533-position model. The record is from RNAcentral.